Molecule: non-coding RNA, 85 nt
Organism: Felis catus (domestic cat)
Lineage: Eukaryota; Metazoa; Chordata; Mammalia; Carnivora; Felidae
Source: Rfam
GCCUGGGUGGCUCAGUCGUUUAAGCUUCAGACUUUGGCUCAGGUCAUGAUCUCAUGGUUCGUGGGUUCAAACCCCACAUUGGGCU